Molecule: long non-coding RNA, 1084 nt
Organism: Oncorhynchus tshawytscha (Chinook salmon)
Lineage: Eukaryota; Metazoa; Chordata; Actinopteri; Salmoniformes; Salmonidae
Source: Ensembl
GUUAUCUAAUCUAAUAUUGUGAUAAUUUUCUGACUUCAUGGAAUCCUAUGCUAUAAUUGAAUAAUGCAGGAAUGCAAUGCCCGUUUUUAAGUUUUAACAUUUUAGCAACUUAUUCAGUUAUCACAGAUAUGCUGCUGCAUAGCAUGUAUUGUGAAUGAUUACGGUGUGUGCAGUCUGUGUGCAAUGAAGGUUGUGUGUGUGUGUGUGUGUGUGUGUGUGUGUGUGUGUGUGUGGUGUGUGGUGUGUGUUUGCUUGGAUGGUUGUGUUUAUGCUUGUAGAAUGACUGCAUGGAGGAGGGGUCCAGUAGCAGUAUAAUCUUUGAACAUUGUUUAAUUGGUUUCUUUUAACCAAAGCCAGCACCGGUUUCUGUGUGCUGGCUGCCUGUUCCUGUAAGCAAGCAGAAGUACUACUACAGGCAGGUCUUUGGUGCAGUUCUGAAUAUGCAUAUUUUUCUCACUGACACUCCCCCAUUUCACUCUUUACUCUUGCUCCCCAUAUUCACUCCCUCCCUAUCUCUCUCCCCAUCUCUUCACUCCCCUUCUUCUCUCUCUCCCUCCCCCUCCUACCUCUUUCAUUCUCUCCCCCGCCCCUUUACUGUUCAGUUGCUCACUAGGCAAAAAAAAAAAAAAAGUCUGUGUGUUUCCAUAGCAACACUGACCUCACGCUGUGACAGGCGAUCUGGGCCGGUUGCCAUGGUGAUCUGCUGUGACAUCAAACUUGAGCCUCUUGUUGCCAUGGUACCACACCUACUGGCUCAGCAGCAGCUAUUUCAGUGCUCCGCUUUGAGCCAAAGUUACAAUGUUCCAGUUUUUACACAACGCCAUAUUGUGUUCUGUGUUCUCAUUCUUUCCAUCUCUUCAUGUUCAGUAGGCUGUAGUUGUCUACAUGCAGGCAAAGAGCUGUGUUAUGACUGUGGUGGCUUGUCUCUCAUUUAUAGGAGUACUUACUACGUACGACCUCAGUAAUGUAGAUGUAAUGGGAUUAUAUGAUCACUGUCUGGACUGUAUCCUCAUUACAUCAGUCGCUGGUAGACCGUCUGGGUGUCUGGUAGAGCAAAUGAUGGUACAUUUGCGCUGUUUGUGUG